GCAUAUCAAUAAGCGGAGGAAAAGAAACCAACAGGGAUUGCCUUAGUAACUGCGAGUGAAGCGGCAAAAGCUCAAAUUUGAAAUCUGGGGCCUCACAGCCUCCGAAUUGUAAUUUCGCGAUACGUUUUCGACUGAAGGCUCUGCUUUAAGUUCCUUGGAACAGGACGUCACAGAGGGUGAGAAUCCCGUGAUAGGUGGAGCCUGAUGCAUAUGAUACGUAUUCAACGAGUCGAGUUGUUUGGGAAUGCAGCUCAAAAUGGGUGGUAAAUUUCAUCUAAAGCUAAAUAUUGGCGAGAGACCGAUAGCGCACAAGUAGAGUGAUCGAAAGAUGAAAAGCACUUUGAAAAGAGAGUUAAAAAGUACGUGAAAUUGUUGAAAGGGAAGCGCUUGAGACCAGACUCAAUCUGUGGUGAUCAACUUGGCUUCUGUCAGGUGCACUUGCCACUUAUUGGGACAGCAUCGGUUUUGGCGGUGGGAUAAAGUCUUGAGGAAUGUAGCUAUCUUUGGAUAGUGUUAUAGCCUCUUGAGUAAUGCCACCAGCCGGGACCGAGGACCGCGCUUCGGCUAGGAUGCUGUCAUAAUGGUCUUCAGCGACCCG
This 598-nucleotide ribosomal RNA is filed under the name Geopyxis majalis. RNAcentral describes it as "eukaryotic LSU rRNA". It matches the Rfam family "Eukaryotic large subunit ribosomal RNA", at positions 38 to 651 of the family's 3401-position model. Lineage: Eukaryota; Fungi; Ascomycota; Pezizomycetes; Pezizales; Tarzettaceae. The record is from RNAcentral.